CCUACGGGAGGCAGCAGUGAGGAAUAUUGGUCAAUGGGCGCGAGCCUGAACCAGCCAAGUCGCGUGAGGGAUGAAGGUUCUAUGGAUCGUAAACCUCUUUUAUAAGGGAAUAAAGUGUGGGACGUGUCCUAUUUUGUAUGUACCUUAUGAAUAAGGAUCGGCUAACUCUGUGCCAGCAGCCGCGGUAAUACGGAGGUACCGAGCGUUAUCCGGAUUUAGUGGGUUUAAAGGGGGCGUAGGCGGCCUUUUAAGUCAGCGGUGAAAGUCUGUGGCUCAACCAUAGAAUUGCCGUUGAAACUGGGGGGCUGGAGUAUGUUGGAGGCAGGCGGAAUGCGUGGUGUAGCGGUGAAAUGCUUAGAUAUCACGCAGAACCCCGAUUGCGAAGGCAGCCUGCCAAGCCAUGACUGACGCUGAUGCACGAAAGCGUGGGGAUCAAACAGGAUUAGAUACCCUUGUAGUC
RNAcentral lists this ribosomal RNA (460 nucleotides) under uncultured bacterium. RNAcentral's name for it is "partial 16S ribosomal RNA". It matches the Rfam family "Bacterial small subunit ribosomal RNA", at positions 338 to 795 of the family's 1533-position model. The record is from RNAcentral.